UGCCAGACUCCUACGGGAGGCAGCAGUGAGGAAUAUUGGUCAAUGGCCGGAAGGCUGAACCAGCCAAGCCGCGUGAAGGACGAAGGUGCCAAGCAUUGUAAACUUCUUUUGUCAAGGGACAAAAUCAGGCUCGAGAGCCUGACCGAGGGUACUUGAAGAAAAAGCAUCGGCUAACUCCGUGCCAGCAGCCGCGGUAAUACGGAGGAUGCGAGCGUUAUCCGGAUUUAUUGGGUUUAAAGGGUGCGCAGGCGGAAGAUCAAGUCAGCGGUAAAAUUGAGAGGCCCAACCUCUGCGAGCCGUUGAAACUGGUUUUCUUGAGUGAGUGAGAAGUAUGCGGAAUGCGUGGUGUAGCGGUGAAAUGCAUAGAUAUCACGCAGAACUCCGAUUGCGAAGGCAGCUUACUAAACUAUAACUGACACUGAAGCACGAAAGCGUGGGGAUCAAACAGGAUUAGAUACCCUUGUA
RNAcentral lists this ribosomal RNA (465 nucleotides) under uncultured bacterium. RNAcentral describes it as "bacterial SSU rRNA". It matches the Rfam family "Bacterial small subunit ribosomal RNA", at positions 329 to 792 of the family's 1533-position model. The record is from RNAcentral.